RNAcentral lists this ribosomal RNA (522 nucleotides) under uncultured bacterium. RNAcentral's name for it is "bacterial SSU rRNA". It matches the Rfam family "Bacterial small subunit ribosomal RNA", at positions 135 to 672 of the family's 1533-position model. The record is from RNAcentral.
AGAGGGGGAUAACGAUUGGAAACGAUCGCUAAUACCGCAUGACAUAGCGGAACCGCAUGGUUCUGUUAUCAAAGAUUUUAUCGCUGAUAGAUGGGCUCGCGUCCGAUUAGAUAGUUGGUGGGGUAACGGCCUACCAAGUCGACGAUCGGUAGCCGGACUGAGAGGUCGAANGGCCACAUUGGGACUGAGACACGGCCCAGACUCCUACGGGAGGCAGCAGUGGGGGAUAUUGCACAAUGGGGGAAACCCUGAUGCAGCGACGCCGCGUGAGGGAAGACGGUCCUCUGGAUUGUAAACCUCUGUCUUCUGGGACGAAACGAGACGGUACCCGAGGAGGAAGNCANNGAUAACUACNUGCCAGCAGCCGCGGUAAUACGUAGGUGGCAAGCGUUGUCCGGAAUUACUGGGUGUAAAGGGAGCGUANGCGGGCAGGCAAGUCAGGNGUGAAAUAUAUCGGCUCAACCGGUAACGGCGCUUGAAACUGCANGUUUUGAGUGAAGUAAAAGGUUGGCGGAAUUCCUA